AGCCUUACAGCCCCGCCCGCGGAGUCCCUGGCGCGGAGAGACCUGGGCUGCGGGCGGGGAGACCCGGGCGCGUGGGGAGGCCGGGCGCGCGGAGAGACCUGGGCUGCGAGCGGGGAGACCCAGGCGCGCGGGGAGGCCGGGCGCGCGGAGAGACCGCGACUGCAGGCGGGGAGGCCCGGGCUUGAGGGGCCGGCUCUGGAGCCUGGGAGAAGGCAUGUCCAGGAUCCCUGAGCAGACCCGAUUCCCACCAGCCCUCUGCAUCAUCUGCUCCACACCGAAGUUGGACUUUCCCACAGAAGAGAAGGCAAAGAAAAGGUUCCAUCUACCAGAGCAGCGCCUGAGGACACAGAACCCAUUUGCCUCAGAUCCUGUUUGAAGGCCAAGCAGAAAUGAAAUCAGUUCCCCUGAAGAAAGUGGCCUGGCAGAACAAAUGGGUAGAAAGUGGAUGGACUGAGGAGAACCUGGAUCCCUUAGCUGUGUUGUUCGCACUUCAGGGCCUGGGCACCUCCUGUUUCCUAUAGACUGCAAAAUUAUCACUCCUGACUAGUGCAGUUACUGGGAUCCGCCAUUUGUCAAAUACCUGGAUUCGACUUUAACAGGAGAUGCACCAAAGUGAAGCAGUGAAGUUCUUUGUGAACAGACUGUGUCGGGGACCACGGCGUGAAGCACCAUGGUAUGAACCCUGCACAUAGACACUGCUCAAGGACCAUUGGCCAUCUUGCAUCAGGCAUUCGAGGAAUUUCUGGGGACGAAAAUUUCAAUUUCUGGGCUAUUUUAUGGGACCGCUGCCUGGUCUGUCUAGAAUUCCAGAACCUUUCCCCGGUUUCCAGCUGGACCUGCUAUGACCUUCUCCUGUGCCCUCUCCAAUUGGACGUCUGGCCUCGCGGAGUUCCUCGUAUUCUCCACCACCCCCAUCAAAGCCGGUGGCCCCCUCCGGGGCUCUUGGAGUCUCCUGUAGUCAACACUUUGGCGCAAGGCCACGCGCCUCUCUGACUUUCCAGGGCCUCUGCUGCGGAACACCGGGUGGGCUGGCCCAGGGCAGGGUCGGUGCACCUUGUCUGGGAAGGCAAGGGUCCGGGAGAUGGGAGCACCCGCCAAGUCUGUGGGGCCCGCGCGGUGACUCCGGCACAUGGCUGGACCCUGCAGCCUCCCGCCACCAUCUGUCGUCAUCAGUCACCAACUUUGGUAAGAAGGGCUCGCUCAGGCUCUCGUGCCCUUCAAGGGGCAGAAUUGGGAGUGUCAGCAGCUCCCGCCCGCCACCCCGGACAGAUGAGAGGGAGAGGCUUCGGGAUCCGGUAUUUAUAUCCAGAUGGUCGGGCGGGUGUGAAACCCGAAAGGAACCAUUUCAGUCCUGCCAUUUCUAGGGCGGGAGGUUGUUUAAAUAAAUGUUAACAGCGGGGCGCCUGGGUGGCUCA
RNAcentral lists this long non-coding RNA (1415 nucleotides) under Felis catus (domestic cat). Its description in RNAcentral is "lncRNA (ENSFCAG00000053359.1)". The record is from RNAcentral. Lineage: Eukaryota; Metazoa; Chordata; Mammalia; Carnivora; Felidae.